Molecule: ribosomal RNA, 253 nt
Filed under: uncultured bacterium
Lineage: Bacteria
Description: partial 16S ribosomal RNA
Rfam family: Bacterial small subunit ribosomal RNA
Source: RNAcentral
UACAGAGGAGCCAAGCGUUGUCCGGAUUGACUGGGCGUAAAGCGCACGCAGGCGGAUGCGCGCGUGGGGUGUGAAAUCUGGCCGCUUAACGGCCAGGCGCCAUCCUAUACGGCGCGUCUGGAGUGAUGCAGAGGUCGAUGGAAUUGCCGGUGUAGUGGUGAAAUGCGUAGAGAUCGGCAGGAACACCCAGGGGGAAACCAGUCGACUGGGCAUCUACUGACGCUGAGGUGCGAGAGCGUGGGGAGCGAACCGG